RNAcentral lists this long non-coding RNA (245 nucleotides) under Elaeis guineensis (African oil palm). Its description in RNAcentral is "long non-coding RNA (EGUI_LNC077994)". Lineage: Eukaryota; Viridiplantae; Streptophyta; Magnoliopsida; Arecales; Arecaceae. The record is from RNAcentral.
GGGGAGCAGAACUACUACUACAACCACUCAAGAUCACAUCAUGUUCUUGUGAUAACCAUUGUCAAUGGACUAGCCCAGCUCAAGCGGUUCGGGCAACCCAACUAAAAAAAAAUUGCAUUCUACCUAAAGUUCAAGGCCUUUAAGCCCAAAAUAGUCAAACCCGAGAUGACUGAAUCCUCUCAGUCAGGCCUGGGUUUGAUCUUUGUUUUCUAGGAAAACAAUUUAACCUGAUCCGAGCCCCACCC